Long non-coding RNA from Hemicordylus capensis (graceful crag lizard), 2310 nucleotides. RefSeq lists it as uncharacterized. The record is from RefSeq and is a predicted model, not a curated record. The transcript has 3 exons. Lineage: Eukaryota; Metazoa; Chordata; Lepidosauria; Squamata; Cordylidae.
GAUUGUUCUGAUGUUAAUAUAAAUAACCAUCAAUUACUCACCGACUUGGAUCCUGAUCCACACCCCAAGCAUCCUUUUUGCCUAGUACCAGAUUUGGUCUGGGAGGAGAAAGCUUCAGCAUGAAUCCAAUUUUGUCUCUUGGGUUCUGGGUGUUGCUCUCUUUUGCAACGGUGUGUGGUCUCAUGUGCUACAGAUGUGACAAUGAGCGGUCAAAUGGCACAUGCUUCCAGGCAAAACCUCCCUGCAUUGCAAGACCGGGAGAAUCCUGCUACCGUCAGGAGCUCUACACUGAAUAUGUUCGCCUCUAUAGUGUGGCAGGUUGUGUCAAGGAUUGCCAAGAAAUUUCAGGAGGGCAAAACGUCCAGCAUGUCUACAAAUGCUGCAGUAACGCAGAUCUCUGUAACUUCUCUUCUUCCUAAUCUGUAGUGGUGGAACAGAAGGGCUCAGCAUGUCUUUCGUCGGACCUGAAGCGAAAUGUGGGGAAACGCCAUUCACUCUGUACUGUCAUACCUUGUCCUGGUUCGUCUCUUCCUCCGUAUGGCUCACUGGCCUUUUAUCAUGAAUGCAGAAGAAAGCUCCCUCUAGAGCGGCAAUGAACUGGGGGUUGCUCUUGGGGGAGCAGGUUGGAUUUUGAAUUCCUGGGCAACUUCUCUGAAUUCUGGGACUGUCCCUUGAUUAAUUUGACCAUAUGAGUUGUAAUUAACCAAUUAGAUUUGCACAUGGGUAAUCAAUCAAAGCAAGUCAACUAUUAGUAGACAAUGCAUAGUAGACAGUGAGGUUAUUCUCACGAGCUCAGAAACCCGGGCAAGGGGAGCUAAGCAUGGUUUUCGGAGGUCGUGUGCUGCAAUGAAAUACCCCUCCCAUUAAAUGGGUGCUCCACUAACUCAAUUUCCCUGAUCAUAAGAUGCCACUGCAUGGGUCUGUGCCAUGGUGACUUGUGAGGAGACCCCUGACUGGGAGGCUACAGCAAGCCUCCCAGCAUUGGGGGUCUCCCCAGAAUGCCCCAUGCACUCGCGUGGGGCAUUCUGGGAAUUCUAGGGGCCAGGUGGCCCCCCAAUCCCCACUUCCCCUUUCGGCUCCAUGACAGAGCCAGUAAUCAUGUGGGCGGCCAGGGUGAGCUCCCUGCUUGUCUGCGGGGAGAGUCUGGUGAGGCUCUACACAUGGAUGUAGCACCUCAGAAGAUUCAUUCACACAACGCUCAUGAUCUGUGGUCAUGUGAACUCAGAAAGCAAGGUAAGAAGAGGAGAGAGAAAUCAUGUGAGAGAUGGAUGGGAUAGGGACAGCCAACCCACCUGCAGGUGGACGUGGGAAGCUUGGCGUCUUCUAAGCCUUCUGCAAUCACAGUUGCAACACUGCUUUCCUUAUUCACACUAGCAUUGCAACUGUGAUUGCAGAAUGCUUAGUAGGCAUGGAGCCCACCUCUGCAGCCAGGCUCAUGGGCUUUGGAGAGCCUCAGAACAGCAUGGAUGUGUCUUCCACCCAUCAAUGGUUCUCUGUGCAGUAUGUGAGUGGACAAUAACUGGGAAUCUUAACUUAAGUCAAAGAAUCAGUAUGAACUUGUGACCUAACUGAUUAAUUGGUUAAACAUUGAAGCCCCUACUUCAUUCCAGUGUGGACAGCAACCCUUAGAACUGAUAAUCUCCUUUGCUAGUUUUUUCAGCGUUCCCAGUAAUGGCUAUUGCUACAUUUCAGUGUGUUUAAAAAUAAAAGGUGUGGAUUAUUGUCAAUUGCACCCUAACACUAUCAUCCUACCAUUCAUCAAUAAAGCUUCAGUUCUGUUUAAGCAUAUAUCCCUCUCAGUACAGAAAUUGCUUGAAGCAGAGAUGCCCGUCUUUUGCUAGAUCAUGAGGUCAUUCGCACAAUCUGUUUUCUACCUGGGUUUGGGAGCUUUGUGUGCUCCCAAUUUUCAGUCAGGUGGAAGCAAGAAAGGAGGAAAACCUGAGUAGAUGUGCUUGUGUGCAAGCAAGGUAGGAGGAAAACCUGGCUUCCCCAGAAGCAUUUCUACCCAGGUUUUCCUCUUACUUUGCUUCCACACAACCAAAAAUUGGGAGCACAAACAACACCCAAACCCGGGUAGAACACAGUUUUUGAUUGUGUGAAUGGUCUCCAUGCCUUGUGUCUCUUUUCUAAAUGCAACAUUUGCUCUGGUGCUGGUGGUCCAGUCCUCUCUUACAGCAGCUUUCAUGAAAUAUAUUGUAUUUUUUAUUUUUUUUUAAACACACUUUUUUCAUGGAGUACCAUUUCCUCUGCCAGUCUCUAACUUUGGUCCUCUGUUGCCUUAUCAAAUAAACUUUGGAAUCCUAAAAUCUA